UACAGAGACUGCAAGCGUUAUUCGGAUUCACUGGGCGUAAAGGGUGCGCAGGCGGUUGGGUGUGUCAGAUGUGAAAUCCCGAGGCUUAACCUCGGAACUGCGUCUGAAACUACUCGACUAGAGUACUGAAGAGGGAAACGGAAUUCACGGUGUAGCAGUGAAAUGCGUAGAUAUCGUGAGGAACACCAGAGGCGAAGGCGGUUUCCUGGACAGUUACUGACGCUCAGGCACGAAAGCAUGGGGAGCAAAAGGG
This 253-nucleotide ribosomal RNA is filed under the name uncultured bacterium. RNAcentral's name for it is "partial 16S ribosomal RNA". It matches the Rfam family "Bacterial small subunit ribosomal RNA", at positions 524 to 776 of the family's 1533-position model. The record is from RNAcentral.